RNAcentral lists this ribosomal RNA (253 nucleotides) under uncultured bacterium. RNAcentral describes it as "partial 16S ribosomal RNA". It matches the Rfam family "Bacterial small subunit ribosomal RNA", at positions 524 to 776 of the family's 1533-position model. The record is from RNAcentral.
GACGUAGGGCGCGAGCGUUGUCCGGAUUUAUUGGGCGUAAAGAGCGUGUAGGCGGCCAUGUAGGUCCGUUGUGAAAACUCGAGGCUCAACCUCGAGACGCCGAUGGAAACCAUGUGGCUAGAGUCCGGAAGAGGAGAGUGGAAUUCCUGGUGUAGCGGUGAAAUGCGCAGAUAUCAGGAAGAACACCCGUGGCGAAGGCGGCUUCCUGGGCCGCCCCUGACGCUGAGGCGCGAAAGCGUGGGGAGCGAACAGG